GAGCUGAAGGCUCUAAUAUGAAGCAAUGACCUUGUAAGUCAAAGACAGGUUAACAGCCCUA
This 61-nucleotide transfer RNA is filed under the name Limnodrilus hoffmeisteri. RNAcentral describes it as "tRNA-Thr". The record is from RNAcentral. Lineage: Eukaryota; Metazoa; Annelida; Clitellata; Tubificida; Naididae.